UCGCUCUCUUUUCUCAGUUACUCUGCUUUUGCUGAUUGAUUCGUCUGUUCUUUGGGCAUCACUCUAUCAUCUUGAAGAACAAACAAUGAAAUUAUGGAUGAUGAAGACAUUAAUACUACUUCUAUCAGUUAUACCAGGAUGUCAAUCAGAAGACUCAGUUGAUCAGCCACUUAAACAUGUUACUGAAUUUGAGGGAGAAUUGGUCACAUUGGACUGCAAAUAUACUACAAGCUCAACAUCACAAGAGCUCUUCUGGUACAUACAGAGAACAAAUGAAUCUCCUAAACUUGUGUUACAAAGGAAUUCAUAUGGAGGAGGAGUGAAUGGAACGGAGUACCAGGAGAGAUUUCACUCUGAAGUGAAACCAUCAAAAUCCGUCCCCUUGACGAUCCAGAGACUGUGUGUGUCUGACUCUGCUGUGUACUACUGCGCUCUGAGGCCCACAGUGUCACAGGACGUCUCUCUCUCACACAAAAACAAAAGAAACAAACCUACAGUAUACAGGGGAAACAAUAACACUGAAACGAUUUAAUUAAUUAAAAAUGAGCUGCAUCGCUAUUUCACCAAAAACCAAUCUGAUAUAAAAAAUAAAAUAAAAUAAAAUGUCAUGUUGGG
This is a non-coding RNA of Megalobrama amblycephala (Wuchang bream), 615 nucleotides long. NCBI's taxonomy places the organism in Eukaryota, Metazoa, Chordata, Actinopteri, Cypriniformes, Xenocyprididae. The record is from the annotation of a RefSeq genome assembly.